CCACAUUUUCCCAAUCCAGUCUGUCAUCGAUGGGCUUUUGGGUUGAUUCCAGGUCUUUGCGAUUGUAAACAGUGCUCCAAUGAACAUUCGUGUGCAUGUGUCCUUAUAGUAGAACGAUUUAUAGUCCUUUGGAUAUAUACCCAGUAAUGGGAUUGCUGGGUCAAAUGGAAUUUCUAUUUCUAAGGCCUUGAGGAAUUGCCACACUGUCUUCCACAAUGGUUGAACUAAUUUACACUCCCACCAACAGUGUAAAAGUGUUCUUUUAGCAUCCAUGAUAGUUAGGAUUGCAUGGUUAAAAUGGCGUGUAAUUUUAAUAAGUGCCUUUGGUAGUGUGCAACUCCAGAGCUUCAAAAUUCAUACAUUUAAUGCUCUGUUUAUUUUAUUUUUUCCAUGACACAGCCUCAGGAGGUCCUAAGAACAUGUGCCCCCUCUGCUGUAUUUUGUCAAGAAAUACACGAGAAAUGGUUCUCUUUAUUGCGAGGCUGCAAGGUCACCCAAUGAGAGAGGGGCCAAAUAAGCUGGAACAUCAUCUAAUACACUGA
Molecule: long non-coding RNA, 542 nt
Filed under: Callithrix jacchus (white-tufted-ear marmoset)
Lineage: Eukaryota; Metazoa; Chordata; Mammalia; Primates; Cebidae
Description: lncRNA (ENSCJAG00000074230.1)
Source: RNAcentral